Molecule: ribosomal RNA, 253 nt
Filed under: uncultured bacterium
Lineage: Bacteria
Description: partial 16S ribosomal RNA
Rfam family: Bacterial small subunit ribosomal RNA
Source: RNAcentral
UACAGAGGUCUCAAGCGUUGUUCGGAUUCAUUGGGCGUAAAGGGUGUGUAGGUGGCGCGCUAAGUCGGGUGUGAAAUUUCGGAGCUUAACUCCGAAACUGCAUUCGAUACUGGCGUGCUUGAGGACUGGAGAGGAGACUGGAAUUCCUGGUGUAGCGGUGAAAUGCGCAGAUAUCAGGAGGAACACCGGUGGCGAAGGCGGGUCUCUGGGCCGUAACUGACGCUGAGGAGCGAAAGCGUGGGGAGCGAACAGG